GUAAUAUAUAGAUAACGUGCCUCUUAGUCUGGGAUAGCCAUUGGAAACGAUGAUUAAUACCGGAUACUCCUUCUAACUCUAAUGUUAGUCGGGAAAGUUUUUCGCUAAGAGAUCGGUCUAUAUCCCAUCAGUUAGUUGGUAAGGUAACGGCUUACCAAGGCAAUGACGGGUAGCGGGUUUGAGAGGAUGAUCCGCCACACUGGUACUGAGACACGGACCAGACUCCUACGGGAGGCAGCAGUGAGGAAUAUUGCACAAUGGGGGAAACCCUGAUGCAGCAACGCCGCGUGGAGGAUGACGCAUUUCGGUGUGUAAACUCCUUUUAUGAGUCAAGAAAAUGACGGUAGCUCAUGAAUAAGCACCGGCUAACUCCGUGCCAGCAGCCGCGGAGGAUGACGCAUUUCGGUGUGUAAACUCCUUUUAUAAGAGAAGAAAAUGACGGUAUCUUAUGAAUAAGUCCCGGCUAACUCCGUGCCAGCAGCCGCGGUAAUACGGAGGGGACAAGCGUUAUUCGGAAUCACUGGGCGUAAAGGACGCGUAGGCGGGUUAUUAAGUCGGGUGUGAAAUCCAAUGGCUCAACCAUUGAACUGCAUUCGAAACUGGUGACCUAGAGUAUGGAAGGGGCAGGUGGAAUUAGUGGUGUAGGGGUAAAAUCCGUAGAUAUCACUAGGAAUACCGAAAGCGAAGGCGACCUGCUGGGACAUUACUGACGCUGAGGCGUGAAAGCGUGGGGAGCAAACAGGAUUAGAUACCCUGGUAGUCCACGCCCUAAACGAUGAAUGCUAGUCGUCGGGGAGCUUGUCUCUUCGGUGAUGCACUUAACAGAUUAAGCAUUCCGCCUGGGGAGUACGGUCGCAAGAUUAAAACUCAAAGGAAUAGACGGGGACCCGCACAAGUGGUGGAGCAUGUGGGUUUAAUUCGAAGAUACGCGAAGAGCCUUACCUAGCCUUGACAUUGAUUGAAUCUUUCAGAGAUGAGAGAGUGCCUUUCGGGGAACAU
Molecule: ribosomal RNA, 999 nt
Filed under: uncultured bacterium
Lineage: Bacteria
Description: bacterial SSU rRNA
Rfam family: Bacterial small subunit ribosomal RNA
Source: RNAcentral